Molecule: long non-coding RNA, 2592 nt
Organism: Alexandromys fortis (reed vole)
Lineage: Eukaryota; Metazoa; Chordata; Mammalia; Rodentia; Cricetidae
Exons: 2
Source: RefSeq, a predicted model, not a curated record
CAGAGAGCUUGGAGACUUGUAUGUACCUCCUUAAACAGGAAGCUAGCAGACUUCUUGUCCUCCCCUUUCAAUCCUACUUGGCCCCUCCUUUCAGAAGCCCGAUUUAUACAGUAUCACACAUGGUCCCCAAAUGUUGUUCUUUAGUUUCCCUAGUAGUAUCGGGGGUAGGGGCUCCCAGCACAGAGAUGCCAGUACUCCUGAGCAGGCUGGUUUGCCCCAACACUUCAGGGAGGGCAUCUGUCCUUCCCCAAGCACUUGGAGAAUACAGCCUUGUUCGGGUUUGAAGCUGUGGUAGGAGCAGGACGAGAAAGUGCCCUCCCAGUGGGGAGCCUCCCCUCACUCAGGCCUCUAUUUUUAGUGCUUCCCCAGGCUCUAGCAGGAGAAAUCCUUUAGUCAUCAGGGUGUUUAUUUUCCGGCUGCUUCCGACGUCGGGAAAAGCAGAAUGUUGAGACUGGAGAGAUCCAGGGCUGCUGUAAAAGACUUCUCAGGAACCGGCCUGAGAACACAGCCUUCAGACCACUGGGUCCCAGCUCACAGGAAAACAAAACAGGAUGGGCCCCGGACAGCUAAGCCCUCAGGAGUUUCCAACCUGCCUUAACCUUGGAGGCUAUCCAAGCUUAGAGAGCCCUCUGGCCCAGCUCUAUUUGAAGACUGUUUCUCAAAACAACAACUAAGUCCAGAAGAAAUUCUUUCCCAGAAUCCCCCUCCCCAUCCUCUCGAAGGUCUGCUUGGUGAGCCUCCCGCCAACCACAACCCUAGCCAAUCUCAAACCUGAGGCGGGCCUUCCAGAGCUAGGAUUGGUUGGCUGGGCCUCCUAGACCUGGAAUGUUGAGUCUUUAACAAAGGAAUGAGGAAGGAAGGUGAGUCACCUGGGGAAGACUUUAAAGGACUAGCUAGGAGGAAAAGGAAAAGGGAAGCGCUCCAGGGAGGUGGGGGCCCUGGACGCUGACAGCUGACUGGACAGAUCACACGAGACCUGAGUAGGGGGCAGUAAUACAAGGGGGACAAAAUUCAGAGUCUGAAAACGUCUUGGAAGAGAAGAGAAAAGGUAACAAUCGUGAAGUCUUGAUUUCCACAGAGGACCGAAAAGGGCCAAGGUCCUCAUCUCUCUCAACACCCCUCUUCCACCUGGCAGUCCUUCCUCGACCUAGGGAAAGUGCUCUUGCCGCCCCUUCUAGUCUGAUGAGCGGCUUGCCAGGCCCUCCUCUCACCUUCCUUCCCCUGCGCCAUCUGGAUAGCUCUCAAUCCCCACCUCCACACGCAGCUCAGCCACCGAACUCGUCCUUCUUCCUCCAGUUUUUGAGUGAUUCCAGCAAAGAGCCCCCCUACCCAACCUCUCCCCGCAUCUGUCACCAAGCUUGCGAACCGGACCCUCAGCAGGUGGGCGUAUAUAUUCUCUGCGCGAUGAUGGGACUCUGCACUCUGUCCCUGUCUCCUCAGGACGCGCUAGCUUGCUGGUUUGGGUUUCUAAGGUACUUUUCCUUACCAGCUCCUGAGUUCCUGCAGGAAUGCAGAGCUUUGCAGAGCUGGCGUGGAGCGCGCUUAGCAAAUGUAUAUACGCAGCUGUGUGAGUUAGGAUUGUGCAAACUCUACUGAUCAUCUCAUUUCUGCAUCGAUAAUCGUGGUAGCCAAACACAGGGGUCGAGUCUGGGGUCCUACGACUCCACUUCAGGGCAGAGUUGGGGUGAGGGAUAGCCGAAUCCGCCGGAGUCAAGCCCGUGUGGCACAGUAGUGCUCUACGCUGCCUGGGACCAGACGUGGGGACACGAGCAGAAGCCCCUGGAGCUGAGAGGGAGAGGUGCCAGAGCGGGUCCCAGGUCCGUGUUCCCCCCCCCCCCGCCGGCUGGGCAGGAUGUGGUGGCAGCUGCAGUUGGGUGGGCAGGAUGUGGGGGUGGGGGCAGACGAACGCAGCCUGACAGCAGUUCCCCCCCCACCCCAGCUCCCGCCUCCACCCCCUCCGGGUCACGUGCUCUCAGCUUGGGCACCGAGGGACUAUUUCCCAUUUUUCGCGGAAGGACAUCUCAACCCGUCGCCAUGGACUUAAGUUGUAUCACGCCAUUUUCUGGACCCCCCUCUCCAGCCCAGAACAGAAAGUUUGCCCAGUACACAUUUCUGGAAAGCGUGGAUCAACUCGGAAGAGGCCCCUUUAAAUGCAAAUGGUCGCCCUCUUGCUCUGCUCCCCCUCCUCCCCAACCCCCAUCCCAACUUCUCUCCUCGUGCCCAAACUCCACCAGCUGCUAUUGACGUCAAUCGUGCGUCAGCAUCUCCAGCCCAACCAGACAGCACGUGGGGGAAGAAGGCAAUCUUAAAGGGCCAGUCGCUCAGGGCCUUUUAGGUUACCGGAGAUGGAAAAGCUAAGUGGAAUGUUGGAAACUGUUGGAGCGAGAAGAAAUGCAGGGGAGACUUUCAGACUUUCAGAAGGACUGCUUAAGGCCGGCGAAGUGGCUCAGCGGAUCCGGGUACUUCUUUCUGUGCAAGCCCGAGAAUCACCUCCCCAAAGUUAUCCUCUGACCUUCACAGCAUUUUCUCCCCCCCCCCCCCGCACACAUAAUGUAAUGUAUUAAUAAAUCUUUUUUCGUUGUUUUUUUUUUA